Molecule: long non-coding RNA, 1399 nt
Organism: Musca domestica (house fly)
Lineage: Eukaryota; Metazoa; Arthropoda; Insecta; Diptera; Muscidae
Exons: 3
Source: RefSeq, a predicted model, not a curated record
CUAGUGCUCUUAUAGAUCCUGCUUCUGAAGCAUCAUUUGUCUCAGAAAGAUUACAUCAGCGUCUUGGUAUAGCCACAAUUUCUAUUCAAGCUACAAUUUCAGGAGUAAAUCAAGCAAUUUCAACAAUAUCGUGAAAAUGAUGUUCUUUAUGUGUAGGAUUUCCUAUAGACAGUACUCUCUUCAUGAACAUGACAGCUUUAGUAGUUCCAACAAUGUCUGGCAAUCUUCCUUCGUUUUCUAUCGGCAGGGAAAUUGCUUCUAAUAUGCCAAAUCUAUAUUUGGCUGAUAGAAACAUCUAAUGGGAAAAUCCUCAAUGAUAUUGUCAGGGGGAAGAGCAAUGAAUAGAGACGCAAUGUUGUUGAGUAUAGAAAUAGAUAGAUAGAAAAACUAAAUCUAGCCUUAACAUCUACCAUAAAAAUACACAUGAACUUAUUUACUAAUGUAUGUUGUGUCUAAAUACAUAAUGCACUCCACGCACACAAAAAGUUGCGGGAGAAAACGAAAUGUACCUACUUUGUGAUCGAACCUUUCUUAUCUUCUAUUUAUGGCCGUGACAUUUAUUACAUUAUUUAUUACCAACCAUAAACCUAGUGUUUAAGUUGGCCUUCAACUUCCCGAGUCCAGUCAAUCACGGAUGCUGAUUGACACAACGGGCAUCUCCUCGGCAAAGCGCAGAUGCCACCGAGCGGUGGUUGUUGUUGGUUAGCUCACUUUGAUACAUACGAGACUCUGCUCUCAUUGGAAAUAAUUGUAAAUGUAGUAGUAGUUAUCGACAAUGAUCCUCGGCGAUCACUGCGAUCCUCUGCGAUUGCAAGAACCUCUGCGUUCACUUGUAGUUUAGUUGCUGAAGCGUACGCUUGUCGCGCCUAACCCUCGUUCGCGGUUAUACUAACCAGGCCUCUGACCAAAUUACUGAAGUUUCUUCCUUUCACCGCAUUCACCACACACGCGAAUCACCCGCACCUCUCACAAUCACAUAAUAACUCGGGGGAGUUCUCGUUGUUGUUGCCGGUGUCUGCCAUUCCUCCACUUCCCUGAGUUAAACACCUAGCAUAUGGAAAACACAUGCAACUUAAUCUGUUCCACGAUAUCGAAAGAACCAUUUCGUAUUGCUUUUACACGGCAAACAGAUGAUUUCCCUUCCACUAAAAUCAAUCAGAACGAAAAAUUUUACGAAAAUCAAAGCGAACGAAAACGUAAGCAUACAAUGCCAUUUUUUGGAAGCAGCAGGUAAUCCCUUGAAGACCACUGGAAGAAUUGUGUGUAGAGAUGGGGUCUCUACACACAAACUGCAAAAAAUCAGACACUGUCAGCACAAACACAGAUCCAACAACAACACCAACGUAAUAAACCAAUAUCCCAACACAUGGAACAUCAAACCAUCAUCAUAAAUAGUAAU